Molecule: ribosomal RNA, 447 nt
Filed under: uncultured bacterium
Lineage: Bacteria
Description: partial 16S ribosomal RNA
Rfam family: Bacterial small subunit ribosomal RNA
Source: RNAcentral
UUCCAGACUCCUACGGGAGGCAGCAGUGGGGGAUAUUGCACAAUGGAGGGAACUCUGAUGCAGCGACGCCGCGUGAGGGAAGAAGGUUUUCGGAUUGUAAACCUCUGUCUUCGGUGACGAAACGAGACGGUAGCCGAGGAGGAAGCCACGGCUAACUACGUGCCAGCAGCCGCGGUAAUACGUAGGGGGCAAGCGUUAUCCGGAUUUACUGGGUGUAAAGGGGGCGCAGACGGCGAUGCAAGCCAGGAGUGAAAGCCCGGGGCCCAACCCCGGGACUGCUCUUGGAACUGCGUGGCUGGAGUGCAGGAGGGGCAGGCGGAAUUCCUGGUGUAGCGGUGAAAUGCGUAGAUAUCAGGAGGAACACCGGUGGCGAAGGCGGCCUGCUGGACUGCAACUGACGUUGAGGCCCGAAAGCGUGGGGAGCAAACAGGAUUAGAUACCCUCGUA